This 301-nucleotide ribosomal RNA is filed under the name uncultured bacterium. Its description in RNAcentral is "partial 16S ribosomal RNA". It matches the Rfam family "Bacterial small subunit ribosomal RNA", at positions 509 to 807 of the family's 1533-position model. The record is from RNAcentral.
CAGCAGCCGCGGGAAUACGGAGGGAGCUAGCGUUGUUCGGAAUUACUGGGCGUAAAGCGCACGUAGGCGGCUUUGUAAGUUAGAGGUGAAAGCCUGGAGCUCAACUCCAGAAUUGCCUUUAAGACUGCAUCGCUUGAAUCCGGGAGAGGUGAGUGGAAUUCCGAGUGUAGAGGUGAAAUUCGUAGAUAUUCGGAAGAACACCAGUGGCGAAGGCGGCUCACUGGACCGGCAUUGACGCUGAGGUGCGAAAGCGUGGGGAGCAAACAGGAUUAGAUACCCCGGUAGUCCCUGUCUCUUAUAC